RNAcentral lists this ribosomal RNA (253 nucleotides) under uncultured bacterium. Its description in RNAcentral is "partial 16S ribosomal RNA". It matches the Rfam family "Bacterial small subunit ribosomal RNA", at positions 524 to 776 of the family's 1533-position model. The record is from RNAcentral.
UACAGAGGUCCCAAGCGUUGUUCGGAUUCACUGGGCGUAAAGGGUGCGUAGGCGGUUGGGUAAGUCUGUCGUGAAAUCUCCGAGCCUAACUCGGAAACUGCGUCGGAUACUAUUCAACUCGAGGAAUGGAGGGGAGACUGGAAUUCUCGGUGUAGCAGUGAAAUGCGUAGAUAUCGAGAGGAACACCAGUGGCGAAGGCGAGUCUCUGGACAUUUCCUGACGCUGAGGCACGAAAGCGUGGGUAGCAAACAGG